Molecule: non-coding RNA, 196 nt
Filed under: unclassified sequences
Description: manA RNA
Rfam family: manA RNA
About the family: manA RNA has been located in 5'UTR regions of genes of mannose or fructose metabolism. Has been proposed as a cis-regulatory element and as a riboswitch candidate for his complex secondary structure.
Source: RNAcentral
UUGUUGGACGCAACAACUGGGUGUGACUGAAUAAUCUUACUGGCAUAUAGCUAGAUAAGGUGAUGAGACACAGGUGGUGCUGCUCCUAGGGAACUAGGAGAAUCGACUUACCAGUCGGGUCUCAGGCAGAGACGUUUUUCUAAACUGUAGAAAUGCCCGUCUCUUGUUGGUAUACAGGACUCCAACCACCCUCCUU